AAGUUUGUUCGUGAUUGUGCUCAAUUAUCUUGAUUUUUCGUGUAUGUUCCCCCACUCCCCACCGCACUUGUUUUCAUGCGCUAACCUGCCCCAUUCCCUUUAACCGCAGAGAAUGUUUAAAUCUCCAAAUUCGGUUUUGAACAAGGCUAGGACGCAAUUACUUAAUAAGCAGCGGGUAUUAUCUGAGGGCAGAAACUUCGGCCACUACGCUGUCGGUAUGGCUGACGAAGAUGCAUGAAUUUGAUUGGGAACAACGAUAAUUAUUUGUCAUUUAGAGAUUCGAUCCUUCAUUUGUGUAACGAUAUUUCUUACAUUUCAUAAGUGCACUUUGUCCAAUCCUGUACUCCUAUCGAUUUCAUCUGAUGAUGUGAGACUUAUGAUGUUGUAAUAUGAAUAACAAACAGAUAUUAAGAACGGAUUUCAAAUGCCUAUUUGUUUUAA
Vigna umbellata (rice bean) is the source of this 441-nucleotide non-coding RNA. The record is from RefSeq and is a predicted model, not a curated record. Lineage: Eukaryota; Viridiplantae; Streptophyta; Magnoliopsida; Fabales; Fabaceae.